Molecule: unclassified non-coding RNA, 561 nt
Filed under: uncultured fungus
Lineage: Eukaryota; Fungi
Description: sequence contains ITS1, 5.8S rRNA gene
Rfam family: 5.8S ribosomal RNA (bases 186-338)
Source: RNAcentral
CGAGUUCGGGUCUAUAUGGCCCAUCUCUCCAACCCUUUGUCUACCUGACCUCUGUUGAUUCGGCGGACCCGUCUCUCACGAGACCGCCGGAGGGUGUAAGCCCUCUGGCCCGCGUCCGUCGAUGGCCCUUAUCAAAACUCUUAAUAAAAUGUGUCAUGUCUGAACAAACAUUUAAUUAAAGAAAAAACUUUCAACAACGGAUCUCUUGGUUCUGGCAUCGAUGAAGAACGCAGCGAAAUGCGAUAAGUAAUGCGAAUUGCAGAAACCGUGAGUCAUCGAACCUUUGAACGCACAUUGCGCCCUUUGGCAUUCCGAAGGGCAUGCCUGUUCGAGCGUCAUUAUCACCCCUCAAGCUCUGGCUUGGUGUUGGAUCGGGUAGAGUGAUACCCAUCUCAAAGAUAAUGAUGCCGCCCCAGAGGGACACGGUACGAGGACCUUCUCGUUAAGCAUGUACCGAAGACGACUCUGUGGACGGUGGUCUUGUACUUAAAUAUACCUAAGUGUUGACCUCGGAUCAGGUAGGAAUACCCGCUGAACUUAAGCAUAUCAAUAAGCGGAGGA